Molecule: long non-coding RNA, 20593 nt
Filed under: Gallus gallus (chicken)
Lineage: Eukaryota; Metazoa; Chordata; Aves; Galliformes; Phasianidae
Description: lncRNA (ENSGALG00010030072.1)
Source: RNAcentral
GAGGGCAGCCUGGGAGAGCCUCCAAAAUUCGCCGAGCCGGGUUGCAGCGGGAGCUGCCCGGCGCAGGGGUGGGGACUGCCCGCUUCCUUAAACGGCGCGGGAGCGGCGGAGCGGCCCCGUGUGCCGCCCCGGUGUGCCGGGCCGUGCCGACCCUCCCGGGACGCGGCCGCAACACGUGGAGCAAACUUUCGAGGGAUGGGAGUGCAGCCGGACGGAAACUCCGCCGCGUCGGGAUUGCGCCGUCACGUUGCACGGAGCAGCUCGCCUCUUUCUGGAACAUUUCAACUGCUUCUGUUAGAGCUGAAUUCUAUGUAAAGGAGAAGUGACUAGAAACCCCAGACUGGGUCCCAGGUCUUGCUUAACUUUGUAAUGCACGCUGACUUGCUGACGCGACUCCAGUUAAGGUAUGGUAUGAAUCAGGAGCUCCAACAGCCGCUGCGGAAUGAGCGCGUUCACAUGAAGUCAUCCUGCAGCAGCUAUUGCAGAAUAGUCAACUGCUCUGUGUAAGCAAGCCCUAAAAGCCAAUCCUGGUCCCAGCGGCUGUGUGACUAGGUAAGGGAGGUAAAGGGCACAAGAAAGGCACCCUUCUGUCAGCUAUGGAUGGGCUGGGAGCAAAGAAACCCGUGCUGCUCAGGGCUGCCUUGCAGGCCGCUGCUUUUGGAGUGGUUUGGUUCAGGACUUUCUGCUUUGAUGCCUUUGAUUUCUGAGACUGGCCCUGCGUACGAAGCCGCAGACUGUUUCCUCAUUUAGCCAGUGCAGUGUCUUCACCUGAUACCGAAACAAGAUGGAAGGAAUUGAAUGUUUCCCCCGGUGUGGCUGGAAUUGAUCUGCUUUUAACCCAUUAUCUACCGAUGGAAUAAACAGAAGCAGCUCCACUACUACCAGGAUGGAGAACAACCACCGACUCUUAGUACCGGAAACAGGAAGAUCCAGAAGGGGUUUUUGUUCCUACGUUACAAUUUUUAUCUUUAGUAUUCACAUCAUACUCAAAGUAAGAAUAUUUAUAUGCUAAAAUAAACCCCUUUUUGCUUUGUGAUACUGGAUUGAGCCUGCCCACCUUCUUCCUAUCACAGCUCUGACCCAUGGAGAGAGCCAAGUGGUGGAUGUGGAGGUCAGAAGGGGCCCUCCGAAUGCAGGGGAUGCACACAGAGCAAUCCUGCAGCCCGUCCUGAAGCCGGUGCAUGGAUGAGUGGAUCUUUCUCUCAUGUGCUAUGGGAACUCUGCCUAUAUAAAUGUCUGACAAACUCUACCAGUGCUUUAUAACCUUGUGUCUUCUACCUUCUGGUAAGCCACAAUUUCCUGCUUAUGCAUCUCUGUGGAAGAAGCCCUUCAUAUAUGUGACUGCAUGUGGUGAAUAGGAGAGCAAGAAGAGUUGGUGUUAUUUUUAUCCUAUCUGUUCUCAAAACAGCUCUCCCAGUCACACACCCCUCCAAUAGCCUUGGAGUGGAGGGCAGGUGCAGAGCCCUGUGGGGACACUUGGUACUUGGCCAGGGGCUGGCAGGCAGGAGGGCUCCUGCAUGCCCUGCAGGUGGGAUUCCUGCUCCAUUUCACUGCAGGGCAUUCUGGGCAGACCUGUGAGUCCAAUUCUGUGUGCCCAGGCCAAAGCAUUACGAUUUCAAGGACAAAUUUGGCUGUUCCUUUUGAAACUUCACUGUCAUUUAGCACCUCCAGUCUGGCUUGGAAAAAUGCAGAAAUUCCUAUAAUAAAUGUGUUUUGAAAAGUAUACACAGGCAAUCAUGAUUUUUUCAGUCAGUCUCAAGUGAUGCCAUCCACUUCUACUCUGCUUAAGUGCUGCCCUGGACUUCUUGAAGUUGCCAUCCCUGGCAUAUGCUAAGUAAGUAGUAUGAACAUUUCAAUAGACCUUGCCAAAACAAAGCAUCCCCUUCUGGCAUGCAGAUAAUUCUGCAUGGAUAGCAGAAGAUGUACUAAGCUUGAGCCACUGUUCAUAUUUCUUUGCACAUCAAAGCAAUUGCACCAGCAUCUUUCAAGCACCCAUGUUCCAGGCUGCAAGGAGUCUCUGGCUGCACAGGGCCUUUCUGAAUUGCCCUGUGAUGUUAUCGACUGCUUUCAGUGCACAACAUCUGCCUGGAAUAAUUUAAUGUGGUGCUUUCAGUCAAAUAGAAAUUGCAUGUCAGCCACAUGAUCUGAAUUAGACCAGUGCAGGAAAUAACAUUUUGCAGGCAAAUUUGGUGCCUUCUUUCACUGGAGCCCUUUGGUACUUGGCUGUAGUUUUCGAUGAAUAGCUGUUUCAUGGAGGAAAUAUGGUAAUUAAGGCAAACUUUCUUCAUGUUUUAAACUACUUUCAGCAAAACUAGAAAUCCAAGCUGCCAAGCAACCUUUAGUUUUAGCAGAUUACUGCUGGUCUGUGUCUUUUUAAUUAGGCCAGAGUCAAUCAAGUUUAAUUAAGAGAAUUGGUGGGACAACCAGGACAGCCUUCCCAAGAGCAGGACUCUGUUCUGGGGCCCAGUUGGUACUGGUUGAGAUUUGGUUCUCUAUAAAGACAAAGAAAACAAAAUAAAACCUCAGCAAAAUGAAUAGAUGUCACGAGUCUCAAGCACACAGACAAAGGACAGGGUUUGACCAUCAGUCUGUAGGCAGAAGGGCUGUCACAGACAGCCAGUCACAAUAUAUUCUGAUCUUUUGGUCAGCACAGAUGCUACCUGCAGUACCAAGCUUUGGCUCUGUGGCGAAUGAGAAGCAAAUCUACGGAUUCCAGUGCUUGUACUUCCAGGCUGUUAUGGCUUGCUCUUAAAUGGGGAAAGGAAGCCAAAGGAAAUCAUGUGCAUUGGAGUCAAAUACCAUUUUUAGGAGUGGGAACUGCAUGAGUAUUUCACCAGUGAUUAAAAUAGCCAGGGACCAGGGCACACUAAUGAUUAAUGAUCUCUUUCUGCAAGCUGAGGACAUGUCCUACAGAAUCUGGCCCUCCUGAGAGAUAGUCAUGAAGUACAGUUUGGCGGAGCGUAUUUUAAAGGCAUGAGCAAAAAUUGGUAGGUUAAUUGUUGUUUUUUAUGUUGUGGAUCUGCUGUGUCAUUUGGCUUGAAUUACUGGCCCCUAUUUCGGAAGCAUGCAGUACAUGGAAGUAGCCCUUACCAACCUGGUGCAGCCACACCACUGUCCCACUCCCAGCACAGGCAGGAGUGCGGGCUGAGAAGUUACACUAAGCUCACUGCUGCAGGUGGAACAAGGCCAUCUACACAAUUAUUCUAAAGCCCCUUUUUUUUUGACUUACCUCGUUUGCCUUCUGUGAAGGCGGCUCUCCUUAGCAGGACCCCCAGCACUCCUGAGGUCACAUCCUGCAUGCUGCAUUACGGGGAACUUGGAGGCCUGGACUGCACCUUGUCCCCAUGGCAGCUCAGAGCACAGCCCCACUCGGGAGGCCCCACCAGCCAUCCUCCAUCCCUUCACUACAUGGCAAAGAUUACUGCUGCAGGAAGGAGGCCAAGCAAGAAGCUGUGUGAUCCCUAUCAACGCACCUGCCCUCUUCCAGCAUCACACAGACACCACUGAUUUGUCCAUUAGAGAUGUCAUUUUUCCUGCACAGAAACAGCAGUACAAGGCGUUACUACAAUCAAACUUCAGUUUCAAGUGAGGAACUUCUGGGAGUUCCUCUUCUUUUUUUUUUUUUUUUUUUUUCCAGCUGCAGGGAAGGGUGAAAACUAUCAGCUAUACAAAUAUUACAGUUUAUGCUGUUAAAUAAAUCAUAAUUUGUCAACAGGUAGCUGAAUUAUGGCCAAUUCCACUGAGAGCCAAAACUGAUCUUCUUUCCCAGUGCUAUUGUAUAGUAACAGCUGGCAGAACACUGUCAAGCAAAGCUGUGCUGUGCUAAGCUGAUAAAUAAACCAGUGAGCCUCAGUGUAGGAGCCACAUCAUCUCAUGGAGAGACUGCAGCUCAUGCUGGAAUGUGUUGCACAAAUGCUUGUUAACAGUCUACACACAGGCAGAGAGUUGCUUUAUGAAAAGGUGUUAGAAAGAUGUGAUUUGAAUAAGACACAGCAUUCCUAGGGUUAUCAAAAGAACCAGCCAGGUUUCAGGUCUCAGAGUACUAAAGCACAGCAGCAAGCCAGCCAAUGUUAGCAUUUCUUGUUCAUUCAAAUGGAGAGUCUGGUAACCGGAUUCUGGAUGAGUGGAAAGUCCCAACAAGUUCUAAGAUACAGCAAGGCAAGCCAGAAAACCAACAGAGAGAAAUGUGUUUCUAUUUGUUUCACAGCUCCCAAAUUCUGCUGGAGAGUUUUGCACUCUUCAGUUGUUUCUGAGGCAGAAGGAGACCUCCUCUGAUUGCAGAUGCUGUGUUGCUUUAAGCCAAUCAGACUACACUGUCCCGGGUGGGAGAAGGAAGGGUAACAAGUGCCAGUGCCCCAUCAGGAGAUACAGCUUCAUGCUGGAGCUCAGAGCCUCGUGCAGCCGGCAGAUAACUCUGUGUGUUUUAUACUUAACACCACUCUGGUUUUGUCCUUGCUUUGCAGGCAUUUUAUUUUUAUCGUGGGUAAGAACAGGAACAUGUGCAUUUCUGUGAAAGGCCGAGCACAGGGCUGCAAGCUCCAUCUCAGUGCAAAUAAUACUUUGGCAGGAAACCUGCAGGAGAUUAAAUUAGGGACCUAAAGACUGAAUAUUAAAACAUUUCCAACUUUUGAGUUCUUUUAAAUAAGCAGCUACAAAACAAAGCAGUCUGACAAAAUUAGCAGGACCGAAGUGCUAAAGGAACCCACUAAGGGUCAUUUAUUUGUUGAUGCAGAUUUAAGAGAACUUUUUAAGUUAUUUGUAUUAGUAGCUGUGUAUGUCAACAUGCUAUUUCCUCAAUGCAUUUUGAGUCCAGAUUAGCUAAAGUUUUAGGUGUUGGCAGACUUGCUACAAUAGAAGGGAAAUGCCACUGGAAUAACUUUAAACAUGAUCCAAUCCCUGAUGAUUCAUUGGAUGUGUUAAAAUUUCCUUUGAGACCAUGUAAGUAAUGCAGGGACUGGAGUGCAGAGUGCCUGUGACUCAGCUCUCUGCGAGGCAAAGGGAGGAUGUCAGAAUUGCUCACUGGGACUGGAGGAAUCUCAUUUAUCUAUUUAUAGGCAAGGCUGAGAUGAGCUCGUGCCAUUGAAGAGCUGAAUUUGCCAGUUCUCUUGGGGGGAGGAAAAGGGAAGGCCCUCCUGUUAGCUGGUGGGGCUGCUUCCAAACCCAAGGACUCUGGCCAGCUGCAUUUUCUUGCCCUCGGAUGAGCAGCGUGGGGCACCUGGUGCAGACCUGUGGGAGAGCAGAGCAGCCCCAGCCCCCGGCACCAGCUGCUGCUCAGCCCCUGCUCCAGAGGGGCUGCAGGACCAGCAGGUCCCGUGCCCUGAGGUCAGGGGGCUCUUCCCACUGCAGGGGCAUCACUGCAGCACGCGUGUAUGUCAGCCAGCUUCAUUUAAGAGGUGCUGGUUAGAGGCCGCUUUGCCAAAAGCCUUUUUACUGCUUCUCUUCAAAGAGGUACAGCAGUAUUCCCCGUGAGUGGGCAUUCUGCCUAACAGGGCAUCAGAAAAGGAAAGCUCCAGGGGACAGAGCGGGGAGCCGAGCACACUGCCUGCUUCCAGCCUCUGCACAGCCUGCGAGCCACUGGCAGUGCUGGGACAGCCAUUCCUGAAGGUGUGCUUUCAGCCAUGUAUAUUUAGGUUUGGGAGGUGAAAGACGGUCACACUGUGGGUAAAAAGCAAGAGCUCAAACCCACAGCGAAAUGUUUUAGUGACACUGCUUUUCUGGUACAGCUGGCACUUAGCUGUACAGCAGCACACACUGCGGCCUGGUCUUCUUACUAAGAAAGAAACCACUCCAUAUAGGCACCACACACCGCACUGCUCCAUCACUGGGAACACCUUUGUGGUGUUGGUCCGGGCUGUUCUUUCCAUUCCCUGCAUUUAGCUGCUGUGGCUAAUUCCCUUCCCAAAAAAGAAGUUAUCUAGGAACACAGGGCUCUGGAUUACUGAUCCAGCCUCCUACUGUUACAUUCAAUUACAUCAUAUCGUGCUUUUUGGCAGGUUGUCCCAGCACUUCAUUUAAAAUUUUCAGCCUUAAUAUCAUUUGUUCUUGUGCCAGCAUCAUAAUGUAGUUUAAACAAUUCUCUUUUUUCUCUGAUCUUUACCUAUCAGAUAUAUUUACUGAAAACAAUCCUAUCUCCUCUAGCCUUUGUUUUGAAAAACUAAACAAAUGAAACUCUUCUAGUCUCCUCUUGUUCCAAACCCUCUGAUCAUCCUCAAUGCCCUUCUCUGUACCUGCUAAUCUUCCUCGAACAUGAGUGAACCUGUACCUUCUAGGAUUGUGUUUGCUUCUCCAUAUCAGAUUGGUGGCUCACAGUCAUCCCUGGGAGCGAAUUAUUCUCUGUGGUUUUUUUUCCACCCCCCUGCCUUUGUCAUCUUCAAGUAAGUAAUAUGAUAUUCUAGUUAUUAAUUUCUAAAUGCAUGUCUUAAUACUUUCUCUAUUCUAUUUCAGAUGAAUUCUGUCAUUCACUCAUUGCUGAUUGAUGUUCCGAUCAUCCUCUGUAUUAACAAAGCCCGUGUCCUCAGCAGAUUUCUUUACUACAUUCCUACUGCUGUGCCAGACUCGUUAAUGAAAGAAGCAAGAGUGAGCUCAACACUGACUCCUGAGGAGUUCCACUUACUGACUGCCUCUGUCUGGCAUUUCUUCUCUGCUCAGAGCUCCCCUUUCCUCUGCACUUUAACAGGUUUGCAUUCACCAUCCACACUAAUCCCCAUCAUCUCAACUUCAACGAGUAAUUUCCCCUGUGGUAUAAUAUCAGAUUCUGGAUAGAGUAAAUCACCUGUAUUUCAUUUGCCUAAAAAAAUAAUCAGUCAUCAAAGAGAAAUAUCAGGUUAAGCUGAACUCAUUUAAUGUGCCAAAUCCUGGGAUGGAAAUCUGCCAGUGCACCUUCACCUGAGCACACCGAAUUCUUCAUGCUUUUCCUUCCACCUUACAUGUGAUAAUUUUCAUUCCCUUAUGUAUAUUCCCACUAGAAAUCUUGUCUUUGUCCCACUGCUCAAUACGAUCAUCUCUACUGAAAAUGUGGACAAAGUGUUUUUAAUUCAUUUUUAGACCAUAUGUGGAUGGGUCUUAAUCUCAACCCCAUUCUCACUCCAUAAUGACCACGUUUCUCCUCUUUUUAUUUCUCUAGCUGAAACCCUCUGCCAUCUGUUCUAAUUUCCUUUUCAAGUCCAAUUCACAAGUUCACUUUUGACAUUUUUCAUCCUGUCUCUGCCUUUCCCAUCCCAGCAGCUUCAAAUUGGAUGACUGAGGCAAAUACUGCCUUCAGUCUUCUGCUCCACCACUCUUCUCCAAUGCCAUCCUUGUGGCAGUGGCAGUAACUCAUAAGGCAGGUCCAGAACUGCUGCACUGAACACGUCACUGGAGUGGUGGCUGUUCAGGACCUGCAGGGUAAGCUGCUUUGUCAGCCCUGUGAUAAGAGUGAUGGCCUCCAUCAAAGAGCAGAGCAGAGCAGAGCAUCGUAUUCUGUAGCAGUUCCUCUCCAGACAUCUGAUUUCAAUCCUUAGCUGCAUGCCAGCAGAAUACCCUCAUGCCAAUCAGAACUUCUGCAUGUCAGUUAAUGCUCUCCACGUGUUUGGGGCUGGUUAUUUAUCCCACUGGGGUUGGAGCAUUUCCUGUCAGGGUUCAUCUUCCUGCAUGUUUCAGCUGGUUUUGGAAUCCAAGUUCCAUCACAUUCAAUUCCUCAGAUCUGCAGUGCAGCUGAUUCCACUAAUUAGCUCCCUUAACUUCUCAACAUUUGCCCUCUUUGAGAUGAGUAUGUUUUGGUGUGUCACUACAGACGGUGCUGAAGAUUCAGUCCUAAUGAGGUGCCUUUAAAAGCUCAUGUUUCUUACCCAGAGUCCUCAGAUGCUUUGGAUGACUCACAACUUGGUGCUUUAGAGACAGCGAAAGAACUGCACUUCCCUUUGUGCAGGAGACAGACUCUGUAUCAUCUUAUCAUUGCUCAAUAUUACCCAGCAUUUUCAUUCUGUAGCCAACUGAGACAAUAAAGAGCCUAAAAAGUCACAUUUCAAAAGAUACUGCACUGGAUGGAGAAUGAGUUAAGUCCCUAAAGUGAAGUCCAAAGCUUCCUACCCCCACUGAGAUCACUGCAGCACUUUGCUAACCAAUUAUGCUUACCAGAAAGCAAGGUGUCUGUACCAAGCUAUUUGCUUUGAAUUCUGCCUAUUUCCUGCAGAAAGCAAAGCCCAUCCAGACUGCAGCUGACCGGUCCGAGACACGCCGACAGGUAGCAGAGGCCUAGCUUAGAGUGCUCGUACAGCACCAGCACAAGAAGAGAGCCACGUCCACAAGGGACUUCUGAAAAAUGCAAAGCACCUUGAGAAAUCCAGGCCUUACUGCCGGGACUCUGCAUGUGAUGCAUGUCCUCUCUUUACCUGCCUCCUCAGCUGCAGAACUGCAGCAGCACUGCCCUCUUCCCAAGCCAGCAUGCGAGUGAUACAGCCACAGUGCUGGGGCUACGUUGCCAUCUGAGAUAGGUGGAAGCUGCCUUCUGCUGCCAAACUGGUGCGUGUUCAAACCCUGUAGAAAGAGCUGAAAUGGCAGAGCAAUGUAAAUUUCUCUCCUCUCUCCUCUUUCAAUGGGAGCAAAUAUGCCCCUUUCCCAAACCACGUCUGCCUUGAAUGCUCCCUGCUCUGCUGGGCACCUACUGACCUUGGCAGUGUCACAGGACCCGUGUUUUUCUGAAAGAGUAACCUCCUUGUGAAGAGGCUUAUUGCUUUGGGAAACACAAAGCAGUCUUGUCCUCCAAGUGUCCAAGCCUUCUUUUCACGUCUGUUUAUUCCUUCACUAGCAUUUAUUUUUGGCCCUGCAAAAAAAAAAAAAAAAAAAAAACACAACUCCACAUUAAAGGGAUGGUGUCCAGUUAAAACCCACAUGCUGCACCACCCCUUCACACCCCUUUGCAGAGGAAGGGAGCAGAGGAGACCAACAAAAAAACUCAAGAAGAACUGUCUUCUGUUGGGCACAAAACUGCCUUUGCUUUCUAGAGAAAAAGCAGCAGAGCAUCCUCAGAGCAUUGGUCAAAUAGGCCAAAUUCCGCAUGCCUGAGGCCUGUUUGUAUACAUAAUCACAAAUUCAAGGACCAAAUUUCCAUUUGUCCUGGAAAAUCUCUCUAGUUGGUAUUAUAAAAGGAGCCCAGGAGAGCAGGACACCAAUGUUCCGCAACGUCAUACCGAGUUUGUGGUGUGUGUAACUCUUGAGCAAUGCCAGCCUUUGCAACACAGCUUACCAAUGAUAUAAAAUCAGAAAGACAGUUUCAUGCUGCUUCUGUGCUGUCUCCACAGCUCUCUGGGACUACUAGAGCAAGAACAUGGCUUCUUAUGCAGUAUAGAAAAGCUUAUGAGGAGCAGCAGGUGAUUGAUGCCUCCUGAGGCCAGUGCCAGCUGCACUUAACUGCUGCUCAAGGCCAGUGUUAAGGCAAACAAAAGCACUUAGGCCACCAGCAGCGUAUGCUCACCUGUUUGACUUUGCAGAGAAGUAAUCACAGAGCCAGUGCCAGCUUUGUGCCUGUCGUCUCCCAGCUGAGAGCUGUGACUGUGUGUGGCCUGAUGCAGCUGCAGAAGGGCUGUCUGAGGGCUCACAAAGCUGAAGUCCGAGGCACAAAGUUCAAGUCCAAGGUCCUGUGUUGACAGUGUGUGUGGUCAAGACCUGCGUUCCUGUUGAAAGAAGGAGAGAAGGAAAGCUGGACUGCAUCAUGAGCUCUUUGUACUGGCUCUGCAAGAGCAAUUGUGCUCACUGGCAAUAUCUAUGUCUUGGACCACCCAGCAGCAUCCAGCAGCCCGGGUCGGGUAGGUGUGCUCCAUUUGUUUAGCACCAUGACUGAGUUGGGCACCUGAGGACAAAGUUAUUAAAGCAGUCUGCUCUCAAGACCUAUGUGACAGCAACUGCAUCACUGUCUGCUUUCACUGAAGUCAAUGGGACUCUGGCCACAGGCCUGAUUCCUCUCUCUCACACAUCAAUAGAUUAUCUUUCAAGUCCAUUGGCUUCUAUGAAAUUAGAGCUGUCAAGCCCUGGAUGUACACUAUGGCAUGGUUCAGCCAAAAGAAAUGGGGGACAUGAUGGAAAUUGAAACCUCUGGAAAGACUUGGCCUAUCUUGUAUGCUUAGCAAGUCAGUAGAAUAUUAAUGCUGCAUCCAUCACUCAGAGUACGUGCUUCUGGAUGCUUGGCUGACUUUGGUAAGGGGCACUUUGAGAAGGAUAAAACUGCAUUUUCAUUGCUGAGAAUCUUCCUACAGCACACAAUGUGGCCCAUGGGAUGCUGACAACCUACUGGAAUUGUCUUCAGAGACUACAUAGGGGCUAACACUGCUAAACUGUAUAAACAAGUGCUUACCCCUGAAUAUCACGUUAGUCCAAACAGGAUUUAUAAACACAGAGAUGGUCAGAGGUGGGCUGUCCUCCAAUCAGUCUGUGAAUCUAGAAAGAAAGAAAGAAAAAAGAUGACUUUGUAUUCUUUCAAUUACAUACGUUUCAUACAUAAUUAAAGUAAUCACAAAAACACAUGCAUUGUAUCAGUAAUUGGCAAAUUAAGAAUUCGGUCACGGUUGUUCAGGAACUUACAGACUCCAUGCAAUACCAAUAAUAAUUAUUUAUAACCUACUAUGCAAGGAAAUUAGUCCAGGAAAACUGACUGAUUAUAACGUAGCACAGUCACCCCAAGGGAGAAGUUGAGUGCAAUGUGCAAGGAGCAAGACAUCACACCAUUUUCUUGUCUUGUAUUAUAAACUUUACUGCAAGUAGCAUUCUGGUAUUUUGUAUUGAAUGUCUCGGUUCCCCUGUAACAAAUACCUAUUGUAUUCCUGCUGAAUUUCAUUGAAUUUACUCCUGAGUUAUACUUAAGGUCUGAGGCAGAUCCACAUUGCUGCUUUCUGUAUAAAUCCCUGAGCUGCUUAUUCACGAGGAUGUGCAGCUUCGCAAAAGAAUGAGUUGAGAGAAUGAGCUGGGUGGCAGACUGUUAGUUCUGAUGGUAUUACCAUAGCAUCCGGAGAAGCUAAAUGCAGUGCUAACUCAAGGUACAAGAAAGCUUCAGCCCUUGAAAAGAGCUAACAAAGACGAUGCACAGAAAGUGGGAGGAAGCAAAGAGGCACAGAGAAGAGAAGCGGCUGUGCAGUGUCACACAGCAGGCAACCUGGGGGGGCAGGAGCACGGCCCCGUCUCUUAGCACUUUCCAGCUUCACACUGCCUUUUGGUCCUUUCUGCAUGUGGACCUCAUGCAUCUUCAAUUAAAAGCACAACCCAAAAAUAGAAGAUCUUUUUUUGUCAAGAGAACUCGUGCUCUGCGAGUUGUGAAAACAGAUUAUUUCCCAUGAUUAAUACCUGCCUCCUCUCUGAAGACAUCCAUCUCUGCGUGGAUCGGAUUCUAAUAAAGCAAAGCUCACCUCUUAGGAAAGAAAGCUUUCCGUUUUCUUUCUGCUAACAUUUCUCCUCACCAUUGUCCCUGCAAUCCUUUUAUGAUGCAGGCCCAACAUAACUCACAGUACUUCCCAUUAUUGUGUGCCACGAGUGUGAGCAGAGCCCUUGUUGUGGUAGAUAGCAGCCUUCAGACACCCCAUGUUUCCUGUUCAACUGGAGCCAAUCGCACACUGCUUGGUACUGAAACUAAGUCCCUAAUUAAUUUAUACACAACGAGGCCAUUGUAACGAUAACGUAAUGGAGAUCAGUCCAUUAGCAAAAAGUGUGGAUAAAUUAUUUUCUUUUAAUGCUUCCAUCAACGUUAAGACCCAUUAAUCAUAUUUUAAGAAAACAACUUUAAACUUACACGCUAUUUGUAGGCAUUUCUGAUGGGACACCCAGCCAGCCCUGCUGUUCAGCAAGGAAAUUUCUGCCAUUCACUGAGCAGAACUGGAUCUUUACCACACAGAAGAUGGCACAACUGGUCCGACUCCACUGAUAUUCUCUUUAUAACGUGAGAAAGUAGCAGUUUUAACAAAAAGGAAAUCAAGAUUAAAUGCAACAUAUUCUGAAGGAGGAAAAAAUUCCUAGCAGCAGCUGAAAGGGAAGUGGAAUUCAUCAAUGCCUCUUUCAUCUUUAUCAAAUUACUAUUCAGUGCAGUUACAUUUAUUAAUAACAACAGCCCUUAAACCACAUUGUGAAAACCCAUUAGCAAGAAAUGCUUUAAAAUCUACAACAGGCUGAAACAGAAGGUUUAUCAAAGGCUGAAACAAUUCAACAGUAUAAGCAGAGUGGGCAUUUUUAUGGGCUGCUGAGCGUGCCAGAGCAUCACUGUGACAUAUUCACAAGUGGGCUGUUUGUGCUGUGUAACUAAAACUUGCUCUUGAAUUCAGUAACCCACAUAACCAAGAGGUAAUGCAAACUCAUGCUGUGCUUUGGAUUUUUUCCCCUCACUCCAUACAUACCUAUUGCUGCUGGCAGUUGCAGAGCUGUCAGUGCAGCACUGAGCGGGCAGUCCCACAGCUCUCACUGCUCACAGAGGGGAUGCACAGUGACUUCCCCAUAACAAAACCUGAUGAGAAGAACCUUUGGAGAGGUCAUAACUAUUCCCAUGAGAGUCAGGACCAGCCUGGAGCCGACCACCGUAUCACCCUUUAAUUUUUCAACACAGUUUACCCUGGAAGUUUACAUAUUCCCUUCUCAUUCCCUUACUUGGUUUUUUAAGAGCAGGCAGUUUGAAUGUCAAUCACUGCUGAGCAAUCUCUGAGAGGGUAUGAGAUACGGAGGUGAAAUCCAGAGGAGGGAUUCUGUCAUCAUCCUCACAGCAGAAGCUGCCAGCCAUGCCCAUUGUGCACAUCCUGCACCACUGGAGAUGUGUACACAUCCCAGGGGGGCUGUUACAGAAGGGCCGCUGCCUUGCCCUGCUCUCAGUCGCUUCCAGUUUGCAGCAGAGAACAAUAAUGGCACAGACAGCGCAGCAUUGCUGUGUGCUCAUUCCGCAGCAGUGACUGUAUCUGUCACAGCCUCCUGCUGCAUCAGGGCAACGAUGUUUCUGAAGGCAUUUUCUUUGUUGCUGAACAAGGCAAAGCCUGAGUCGGGGAAUACAGGAGAGGCGAAGGGACAGAGCGAGGGAUGCGACUGCAGCUGGGUACAAGUGGACAGCAGUGCUUGCAGAUCAGCCCAUGCACAUUCUCCUUCCAGAUCUGAUAAUUCCCCAAUUCUGUAAAAACACACCCAAGGCAGGGCUCACGAGGUGCCUGAGGCAGAUAUGCAGACUGCAACUAAAUGCAUCCCACUUCUCUGGAGGGAAAAGUCCCUUCACACCCAUAAGCUGUACAGGUAUCUCACCCCAGCAGGAUGGGCAGACUGUGCCACCUCCAACCACUCUCCGGCUCCAUCCGUCCCCACAGUGUGUUCUACUUAGGAGAGCAAAAGGGUGGCAGAACAAAUCCGUGGCAGGAUGUAUCUUCUGUAAUCGCACACAACUCAGCUUGUUAAAUUGACUGGUUUCUGUCCCAGCUGAGGUUGUAACUCCAUGAUUACUUUUGACCGAGCACAGCUAGAAAACACGUAAUUACAUGGGCCAAAGCACAGAGAAUGGUGCCCACUGCUUUGCUGGUCAAGUGCAGCACAUGAGGGGAAUAGAACCGCUUGGAAAUGAAGUGUACAUUCACACCUCACCACAUCCUCACUGCAGAGUUUACGGCUUUCAGGCUUGGGCAGCAUGAAAGGCAAAAAUCUCCCAGGAGCAGUGAUGGAUUGCGUGGCAUGAAAAAUCACAAAUGGUCAGUGCUGGGGAUGGGGGUUCCACCAUCCAGCCAGAUGCAAGCAGUCCAGGUGAGCACUGGUGAGACAGCACUUGGCAUCUCGCAGGAACGAUCCUUCUGGGCUGUAAUCCCCCCUCUCCUGGUGCAUUUUCUGUUUUCUCUGUUGUUGACCUGCAGUGAUGGAGGAAAGGGGUUGGACAUAGAUGGUGCUCUGAGCAGGAGUGGGGUCUGCUGGAGAGGGAACAGCUGUGGGGCUGGGAGGGAAACAGAGACGGGAAUGAGACAGAUACAUUUCCCCUCUGGGAGGAUGGGCUCAGGCAGCCUGAGGAAAAUAAGGCUAAAAUGAAAGGGAGGAAACCAGAGAAGAGAAGAUGGAACAAGGGAGAUCACAGAGAACAACAGGAAGCAGUGCUGAGACGACAGACAUGAAGGCUGGGCUUGUGGGAGAAAAACAAACAGAGUAAAAAAAAAAAUCAGGAAUAUUGUGCAAAAGACAGAAAGAAUUUUUUAAAAAGUCCUAUAAAAGUGCCAACUACCCAGCUGCUGUAAGUAAAACUCCAGUACACUUACGUCAACACCACACCACAGAUCAGCACCAGGGGAGGAGGUCUGGGGUUGUUUUUUAAUUGCUUGGAAAGGCUUCCAGUGAUGCAGAACGUGAAGUCCGGCUUCCACUGAUGUCAAAGGGAUUUAGAGGUGCUCACGGUCUCACAAAACCAAGACCCAGCUUGUCAAAGUGCAUGAGACAAGAUGCCGCAUUCAUCCCUCGAGAAGAGCCAGCUUUGCACAUUGCCUGACCUGCACCUCGAUGGCACACGCGUGGCAGGGACACAAGGACACAGGGACACAGCCCAGCUCUGCCCACAACACACCAGGCUUUUGCUUUGCUCUCCCUGAUGAGCAGCGAGGUCCUUGGUUUGCACAGCCAGGCGUGAGUAGGGGUAAGAGGCAUCCGCUUUGCUGGUUGAAGUGAAAUGUUUGGCUUAUUGGCACAGCUUGUUUAGAUUGGCUCCUAGCACUCAGUCGAUGUUAUUAGAGAAAGCAAUCAAAAUGCAUUAAAUACUAGGAACUACAUUAAAACAACAUGGAGCAUGCAACACAAACCAAGAAAAGCAAGGGGCUGAGUAUGGAGUCUGCCAUCCCCUCAGUCAUGAGUAUGAAUAUGGUGGAGCCAUGUCACAGCGACGUUUGGAGAGGUAGAGCUGGUGAGUUCUUGCAUGCUGCAACACGGAAGAUUUCAUCUCCUUUUCCUCUCCAAACCACAGCUUCUAGAAAGACUUUGAAAUGCUGCAGUCAGCUCCUACGCCUCCCUGCUGAGCUCCUUCCAGACUGAGCUCUUAAAUUUGCUAUGUUUUUGCCAAGACCUAAUUUUCUUUUGACCACAUAUUAAAGGGCAGAUUCCCAUGCCACAGGGAGGGACUGAGAAGUCAUAACGGACACAUCCGUCACCUGUUUGGCCAGAGAUAACUGCUCUACCCCACUUCUGCAGCUCCAUCAGACUUCUCAGUUUCUUCUUUGGCCUUGAGAUAGGUCUCCAGGGGCUCUGGGAUCCCUAACUUAUCUGUUUUGUUAACUGAUUGCAGCCACAGCCAGAUCCUCGCUUUUCUACUAUACUAUGAAAAUCACAACUGCAUGUUACACCUGGUUGAACAGCAAGGUGAUUAUUGUAAAGCCUGGAUUUCCCAAGGGAAUAAAGCUGUACAUGGAGCACUGUGUGAGCCGAAUGCGUGCAAGUAGUUCUUGAUCGUGUCAGGCUAUUUCAAGGAGACAGAGAGGAGGAUUUCUCAGAGCCCUGAAGGUCCCAGACAGACGCUGCUGAUGACAGAUGGAGGACAUGGACACCAUUAGCAUCCCCUGAGGAAAAGACAGCAGCGGAUGCUCCCUCUACACCAGACAGCAGAGAUGCCACAGAGGUGAGCGCUGUUCAUUCAACUCGCUGAUCAUGAAAUUACUCAUUAAUAAUCUCUUUGCGUGAUCGCUUUCUAAUGCCACUCCCCUUCCCCAUCUGCUUGGGGCUGCACCCUGCACAGCUGUCCGCUAACCACCUUCCUCACCCAGCUGCCCAUCACCUCCAAGGCCUCCAGCAGUGAGCCAUCCACGUGUUGCUGCAGCAGCGUAGCAGGGAAACCGGAGAGAGGAUCAACACACGAGGCGCUGGGAGCUGCAGCGGGGCAACAGCUGUCCCUCAGCACAUCCAUUGUUCUUGUGCAGAGAAGCAGCUUUAAGAAAGUGGUGUAAAUUACAGGAACUGGAUCACUGGCUUGAACAAUGUCAGCACGUCCCUUCGAGGGCAUUCACUCCCCCCACGCCAUGAAACGACAAGUUAUUAUUUAACAGCAGACCUCACACAGAGGAAUGUUUUUCUGUAUUCAUGACCUCUAACAAGUAUAGCAAUUGUUUACUAUACUCUGAGUGAUCCAGAAGGAGCUAUAAUGUGAUAAUUAUAGAGAAACCUUCCUAAAAAUAUAUUUCUGAUGCAUCAGCAAAAACUCGGCAGGCCCCUCCAGCUGGCACUGCACAUAUGAGUUAAGCCCAAUUUGAGAAUCAGAUCAUGCACUACAUUUUGUGCAGCUGUGCAGACUCCAACGAGAAGCUCUGGAGCAGAUGUCUUGUAGCAAUCAGGCAGGGCAUGAAGAAGCAGAGAAGCAGAAGAGGCCAAAGCCACGUUUCUUGACUGAGUGGUCAGUGACAUAGGAAAGCAUCAGUUCCAUUUUCAAGUUGGAUAAACUGAGGCUCUGGAAAUCAGAACACCGGCAUUUUCUAAGCUGCUCUCUGACUGGUUGGUGUCUGAUGUUAGAGGUCCAGCUCGACUCCAGGCUGCGCCUGCUUCCCCACAACUACUGAGCCUCUGCAUUUUUCAUGAAGGGAUACAAUUCAUUACAGUGAUUUUUUGUUCCGACACGCUGCAUUUGUACACCUGCUCCAUGAUCAGCGCUUCCAAACCCCAGCAACGCUCUUUGAAGAAACACCCAGAAAGGCCUCAAGAUGUUCCUGCCUUGCAGCCAAGCCACCGAAAAGCCAACCUGCUGCUGCUGCCCAGAGCCCUGAGGCUGACCUGACCCCUCUGCUGCUGUUUCCGCUGAUCAGACUGUGAAGGGAAGCCAGCGCACAGGUGUUUGUUUUCUUUGCCCAGCACAGCACUUCCCUGAAGACAAGCUGGGACUUCACAGUCUCUGUAGCUCCUUGGCAGCAUCUGCAGUCUUCUGUGCCUCAGUUUCCUCACCUACAGAAAGGCCCACAUGACAAACCCUGAACCCAGGGCUGUGUUAAAGUUUGGAAAACACACAGCACCUUGAAAGAGGGCUUCUAUGGAAGCACAAACAGUCCUUUAUUGCUUCAAUUAAAAAGAGCGUGUUUUACAAUCCACAGUCUGUUUAUACUUGCACUUCUUAUGGAUAUCUCUGAAAAGAACCCAGCCUCAGCAGCUCAUGGAUUUGGCACAGCACGCCAAAUAAUAAGCAGGCUCACCAACCCUUCUACAACACACAGUGCUUCUGUGUAACUUUGCAGGCUGUGUUUGACUUGCCUGAACUUGAACAGUCACCACUGAUUGAUUGGCUUCUAAAAAUACACAUAUGCCAUGGUUCGGAGUCCAGAGAGCUUCUGUUGAUUUAGAUGGAGACCUUGCUGGGAAGAGGCUAAGACAGACACCUGACACCAGGGUGCUGCUGUGCCGGCCACUUGCUGCCGACUGCACAGGGUGCUCUGAAUGCAGGGCUCCACCACGCUCAGCAGCCCUCCAUACCUCAGAGUGGGGAAAAAAGCAGAAAGAAAGCAGCCGUAUGGAUCCCUUCCCUUCCUGCAACUCCAUUUCCAGGCUGCCCUGCAGCUGUUGGUGAUAAGCAGAGUGAACCUGCACAUAUCCUGCCAGAGGGCUGAGCUCAGGUGCUGAGCACCUGCGGCUCCCAGCAGUCAGGGGGGUGCUCAGUGCCCUGCUGAGCUGGGGGGGCUCCCAGCAGGGAUGUGACUCCUGCAAGGGAGAUGCAUUGCACUGUACCCUGGAGGAGGCUGCAAGCACAUGAUUAUUGCAACAGAAGCCGCUAGGAGAAAAAACAGAUUACCAUUUCCAUUGGAGGUAAUAGGUGCCAUGUUGAUUUAUAAACCUGUCACUGCUGGCCAUUAAGCAAACGCUGUUGCAGCUCCUAGAUCCCAUUCCGGAGCACACUGAGUAAGCUGCAGUCUCUGGCACAAUGUCUUGGAGAGCUCCACUGUAGGGCAUAGGGCCACAGCUUCUCCCUGUAGUGACCAUGAUGUUAGCACUCCCAGUUACAUGCACCCACAUCGCUACAGCUGAAGCUUCAAAAUACAUUUUGGAAAGGGAAGGAGGUGUGGGGCUGCAGGGAGCCAUGGCACAGAGCAGAGGAGCUCAAGCAGCUGAAGCUUGCCACAGGGAAACUGCAGAAAGUCAGGAGCAAAGCAAAGCAGUGUCUGUGCAUUCUGGGUGUGAUGCACUGACAGCAGCAUGCUGGGCACUGGUGAGGAACGCAGCAACACCAGGUUUGCUAAAGAAGUGAAACUGAGACAGUUUCCAGCACUGUGCCCAUGCUGGCAGGUCUCAGGGCCACUCUGCUCACUUACCUGCUGACAUCGGAGCUAACAAAAGACAAAGCAGAGUGCAGUCAAAUAUAUACACUGGAUGUUGCCAUGCUACUGAAUGCAGCUUAGCACAGCAGGACUUUUUCUAAAUGAUGUAUUGUAGCUGAGCUAAAACCUAAAUAAUAAUGCUUACUUUGGCUCUCUGGAAGAUCACAGCUAGACAGCAGCCUGUGGAAUACCACGGCUAGUGGAAGAAAUCAUCGGUAUUCUAGGAGCACAUGGGACUGGAGAUGAUCACUGCAGCCAGACUCCUCUUUCACAGCAUCACAUGCCAGCUCAUUUGUGUGUGGGUUAUGCAAUGGAACCCGGCCCUGCUCUCCUGAUGCAACGUCUUGCAGAAGCUGGUUGCUCCAAGACUCAGAACCCUCAUUUCCAGCGUGAGUGGAAGUUUACAGUCACUCUGUCAUCCAAAGAUUUAUUGUCAUUUAUGUAAUGUUCUUCCUUCUGCUGUAUCUACAGAAACCAGUGCCCUCUCUUCAGCUCUGCCACACCGAACAUCCCACAUGGUCACUUCUGUGUCACUCACUGUCCCAGUCAUCUUCUGAGUUCUGCUUUGGAUUCCUCCUUCCCAAAGACAGCUGAUGGGAAUUGGCUGUGACUUUCCAGAUGGAGGCUGAGCAGUUCCUUGUAUGGUGGCAGAAGUGCUUCCCCAUCUUUACUGGAAAUAUCCUGCCUAAUAAACCCGAUGAUCUCACUUGGCUUUUGUGUUCAGUUUUAAAAGAGGUAUAAAAGCAGGCUCUCCAAUAUUUCACUUCAUUUUAUUUUAGUGUUUGUUAUCUGGAAAAAAAGAGGGUAGUUAAACUGCCUUUUUAAUUAAAUUCCUUUAAAUCUCUGAAAACAAGGAAGAAAGAAAGAUAGUAAACAAAGUAAGACAGAAGAAUUACCAUGUGUAUGAGCAGAGGUAUUUUUUCCCGUAACACAUUGAUAUAUAAAUCUCUCUUUCAAAAACUUGCAGGAUGGCUCAGUUGCUCAGUCUGUCUCCUGGGCAACUCGUGACACCUCACAAGAGGAGCCUUGUGGGACAUCAGUCCUGGGAAUUCCAUUGAAAUUCUCAUCCAAAUAAAAAGUACUCCUAAUUUCUUGAAGUUUGUGAUCAGUGGGCUGCCCGGGGUCAUCAGCACCCUGAGGACCUCUCAUGGGGCCACAGACAUGCUGACCUGGAGCACCAUAAUGGAUCAAAGGAACCACGGAGCCCUCUCUGCUCAGCCACCCUCACUGCUUCAUGGCGGGACCUGAGGGACUGCCCCCACCUUUGAAUGCCCAUGAAAUAAACGAGGCUGGUAAAAGACUGUGGUUCAACUGCAUGAAAGAGCUAACAGACAGCGAUGGCACUGAAACUCCAACAUCUGCCACAGAGAUGGGGACAGCACAAUUACACCACCCUGCAGUCAGAAGGAAAAUGUUGCUUCUCUCUUCCAUUGUGCUACGAACUCUGUGGCACCUGGAACCAACUCUGAGCCUGUGCACAAAGGGAGAAGUGGUGUCGGGAAAGCACGUGCUGCACUGUGCUCAGCAGCCAAGGGGUCCAUGCAGAAGCUGAAGGCUUUACAUCAGAACCCACACAGAUGGAAGCUGGGAGGCAGAUGGAAGAACACGAUCUCCCUCUUCCAGCAGCAGAAAACUAUAAUGCAGCUCAAACCACAUCAAGAAAUCAUGCUUGAAUUCCUGUUCUCAGGAGUCAUUUAGUCACCAACCUCCAAAGCUGCUUAGGGAAGCAGGGAAAACCAGGUCUGUAACUUGCUCUGAGUAGUGUGGCAAAGAAGUGGAAGUCUGUGGUGUACCAGUGUGAUUCAGGAAGACUGACACUUCAUUAGUGUGAGUAAAGGCAUCACCACCUAGUCUUUAAUAUGCAUGUUUAGCUAGGUCCCAAUCCAGUCAUGAGAUCCCUGUUGCACAUGAGGAAGGCCUGUGUUCCAGUAGCUUUUAGUCCUCACUCAUGGUACUUUUUGCAGACAUACCAUGAAGCAUUCCCUUUAGGGAGGGGAAUGCUUAGAUGUAUCCUAUAAAAAUCAUAUGCUUUCUCUUCAGUCGUAACUACACGUUGCACGAGUGUUGUUUCUUAAUUAACAGAACAAGCAACUUAAUCUUUAUAAUUACACACCUUGGGACUAAAGAUUGCUAUAGAUGCAUUUUGCAGCAAGGCUUCCUCGCCUCCUCCACUGGGAAUUCCAACAUUUGCCUCUGAAACAGAGAUGCUGGGGCUGGCAUUUGCCACACUCAAAUCCACAAACCUCUGGUUGUGUCAGUUCCUGAAUUACAGACCUGAUGUCUGCAAAUGAUUGCUUUUCAAGGCGAGGGCAGCCACCCUUCCGAAGGCUGAGAAAUAAAUAUAUCGUAAAUCCACA